RNAcentral lists this long non-coding RNA (203 nucleotides) under Panax ginseng (ginseng). Its description in RNAcentral is "long non-coding RNA (PGIN_LNC002644)". The record is from RNAcentral. Lineage: Eukaryota; Viridiplantae; Streptophyta; Magnoliopsida; Apiales; Araliaceae.
GAAUAAAGAAAUACUGAACUGAAGUAACUAACUCAAUGAAUUGAACUGAACAGAAACGAACAAAACUAAUACAAUAAAAUAAUAGGCUGAAACAAAUGGCUGGGGUUAUUUCAUACCGAGUGAGCUCAAAAAUAUAUCUUGCCACACAGGCAAGUCAAACUAAUGUCACACAUGCAAGUCAAAAUAAUGCCACACAGGCAAAU